GCCUACAUGAAGUUGGAAUUGCUGUAAUCGCAGAUCAGAAUGCUGCGGUGAAUACGUUCCCGGGCCUUGUACACACCGCCCGUCACACCAUGAGAGUUGGGAAUACCCGAAGCCUGUGAGCCAACAGUAACUGAGGCAGCAGUCGAAGGUAGAAUCAAUGAUUGGGGUGAAGUCGUAACAAGGUAUC
RNAcentral lists this ribosomal RNA (187 nucleotides) under uncultured bacterium. RNAcentral describes it as "partial 16S ribosomal RNA". It matches the Rfam family "Bacterial small subunit ribosomal RNA", at positions 1314 to 1500 of the family's 1533-position model. The record is from RNAcentral.